RNAcentral lists this small RNA (28 nucleotides) under Bombyx mori (domestic silkworm). Its description in RNAcentral is "ovarian small RNA-13530". The record is from RNAcentral. Lineage: Eukaryota; Metazoa; Arthropoda; Insecta; Lepidoptera; Bombycidae.
CCACUGCUGAACAUAGGCCUCUCCAACU